CCUACGGGAGACAGCAGUUGGGAAUAUUGCACAAUGGGGGAAACCCUGAUGCAGCGACGCCGCGUGAGUGAAGAAGUAAUUCGUUAUGUAAAGCUCUAUCAGCAGGGAAGAAAAUGACGGUACCUGAGUAAGAAGCCCCGGCUAACUACGUGCCAGCAGCCGCGGUAAUACGUAGGGGGCAAGCGUUAUCCGGAUUUACUGGGUGGAAAGGGAGCGUAGACGGCAGUGCAAGUCUGGAGUGAAAGGCGGGGGCUCAACCCCCGGACUGCUCUGGAAACUGUACGGCUGGAGUGCAGGAGAGGUAAGUGGAAUUCCUAGUGUAGCGGUGAAAUGCGUAGAUAUUAGGAGGAACACCAGUGGCGAAGGCGGCUUACUGGACUGUAACUGACGUUGAGGCUCGAAAGCGUGGGGAGCAAACAGGAUUAGAUACCCUUGUAGUC
RNAcentral lists this ribosomal RNA (440 nucleotides) under uncultured bacterium. RNAcentral's name for it is "partial 16S ribosomal RNA". It matches the Rfam family "Bacterial small subunit ribosomal RNA", at positions 338 to 795 of the family's 1533-position model. The record is from RNAcentral.